GAGAGUGCGUUUCCCUUGCAGGAGAAAGCAGUGGUCAGUUUAGUUGCUGCCACUGUCUUGUGUUGGUGGCUAGCACGGUACGGUGUCUCGUUUUGGUUCCCCUGUGCUCCUUCUUGCAGCUGCUCGGGUACUGCAGUAAUAAAGCAAGUACGGGCUCUGCAAUGAGCCGUGCCCUCUGCUCCGGGCGGCAUGUGUCAGCAAAGUGGCUUGUCCACCUGUGUGGCUAUUGCAUCUCCCUAAAUGACAUAGCCUAAGCAGAUAAAAGCAGGUUUUCUGCCUGUGCCGCUCGCAGCUGUGUCCGUGCCAGUUUUUGCUGGUGUACUGGCUGGGGGGAGGAGGUUUUGAUUCGGGUCCCCAGUAGUAUAGCGAUGGCAGCAGGACUUUGUAGUGGAGACCAAGCCAUAGUGACUAGUCUGUUGCAUUUGUGGCUUCACAGCUGCUUCUUGAGGAAGAAAGAUCAUGUCAGUGUUUGAGCGGCAGAGCCGUGUGUGUCAUAGGUGUCAGCAGCUCACGAGCUUUAACACUUUUCUUCUCGGUACCCUGGGGUGGCAGGUUCUCCCCAUUGUACAGAUAGAGAAAUGAAGCAACCUGCUCAGUCACCAGGGCGAUCCCCACUGGCUGAACCUGCAUCUGUGGAAACUGGCUAGUGUCCUAACCCCUGCACCAUUCAUCUUCACCUCCUGGCUGCAUUAUAAUAUGCUGUAUCUACAGGGAGACUUACCUGAUAUAAGUCAUGUUUAAAGAUAUUCCCAGUGCUGAACAGGUGCUGAAAUCUGCCAAAUAACAGACUGUACCUAAGAAACCUGAUGACGGUGAUGUAGAGUGACAAAUAGUUACAACUUGCUGUGUUUGCCACCAGCACACCAUUCUGUCUGGUCUUACCUGAUUGAGAUGGCAGAUUCCUGGGGAGGUGGAGUCGUCACUACAGUGUGUCUGUACAGUGUUGGGUGUAGUGGGGCCUUGGACUUGAUCGGUGUUCUCAGAUGGUACUGCAACACUUGUGAUCAAAGAGCACUACAGAUUUGCACAUACCCUUUGUGGGUUUUUCUUCUCUGAAAGAGUAGUCUCAAGCACUUCUGCGGACAGGAAAGGAAGCUACAAAAGCCACACUCCUUCACCCCCC
RNAcentral lists this long non-coding RNA (1123 nucleotides) under Crocodylus porosus (Australian saltwater crocodile). RNAcentral describes it as "lncRNA (ENSCPRG00005003268.1)". The record is from RNAcentral. Lineage: Eukaryota; Metazoa; Chordata; Crocodylia; Crocodylidae.